RNAcentral lists this ribosomal RNA (484 nucleotides) under uncultured bacterium. Its description in RNAcentral is "partial 16S ribosomal RNA". It matches the Rfam family "Bacterial small subunit ribosomal RNA", at positions 28 to 523 of the family's 1533-position model. The record is from RNAcentral.
GACGAACGCUGGCGGCGUGCUUAACACAUGCAAGUCGAACGAUGAAGCCCAGCUUGCUGGGUGGAAGAGUGGCGAACGGGUGAGUAACACGUGAGUAACCUGCCUAUCACUCUGGGAUAAGCGCUGGAAACGGCGUCUAAUACUGGAUACGACCUAUCACCGCAUGGUGGGUGGGUGGAAAGAUUUGUCGGGGGUAGAUGGACGUGCGGCUUAUCAGACUUGUUGGUGAGGUAAUGGCUCACCAAGGCGACGACGGGUAGCCGGCCUGAGGGGGUGACCGGCCACACUGGGACUGAGACACGGCCCAGACUCCGACGGGGGGCAGCAGUGGGGAAUAUUGCACAAUGGGGACAAGCCUGAUGCAGCAACGCCGCGGGAGGGACGACGGCCUUCGGGUUGUAAACCUCUUUUAGUAGGGAAGAAGCGAAAGUGACGGUACCUGCAGAAAAAGCACCGGCUAACUACGUGCCAGCCGCCGCCGUAA